This 253-nucleotide ribosomal RNA is filed under the name uncultured bacterium. RNAcentral describes it as "partial 16S ribosomal RNA". It matches the Rfam family "Bacterial small subunit ribosomal RNA", at positions 524 to 776 of the family's 1533-position model. The record is from RNAcentral.
UACGGAGGGUGCAAGCGUUAAUCGGAAUUACUGGGCGUAAAGGGCGCGCAGGCGGCUCUGAAAGUCAGAUGUGAAAGCCCCGGGCUUAACCUGGGAACUGCAUUUGAUACUCUAGAGCUUGAGUACGGGAGAGGAGAGUGGAAUUCCCAGUGUAGAGGUGAAAUUCGUAGAUAUUGGGAAGAACACCGGUGGCGAAGGCGGCUCUCUGGACCGUAACUGACGCUGAGGCGCGAAAGCGUGGGGAGCAAACAGG